CCAAAACCGACUCAGGUGGACGGGGUGAAUAUCCCAAGGCGCGUGAGAGAACCCUGGUUAAGGAACUCUGCAAAUUGACACCGUAACUUCGGGAGAAGGUGUGCCGCUGGCGGUUAGUGACUUCGCGUCACGAAGCUGUUGGUGGUCGCAGUGAAAUGGCGGUUGUGACUGUUUACUAAAAACACAGGACUCUGCGAAGUCGUAAGACGACGUAUAGGGUCUGAUGCCUGCCCGGUGCUGGAAGGUUAAGGGGAUAUGUCAGCGCAAGCGAAGCAUUGAACCGAAGCCCCAGUAAACGGCGGCCGUAACUAUAACGGUCCUAAGGUAGCGAAAUUCCUUGUCGGGUAAGUUCCGACCUGCACGAAGGGCAUAACAACAUCCGCACUGUCUCGACCAGGGACUCAGCGAAAUUACAUUGGGGGUGAAGAUGCCCUCUACCCGCGGAAAGACGGAAAGACCCCAUGAACCUUUACUGCAACUUGGCAGUGAUUUUCGGGUUGUUCUGCGUAGGAUAGGUGGGAGGCUUUGAAGCCGGGCUUCCGGGUUCGGCAGAGCCAACGUUGAAAUACCACCCUGAAUAAUCUGGUAAUCUAACCUGCGCCCAUGAUCUGGGCGAGGGACACUGCCUGGUGGGCAGUUUGACUGGGGCGGUCGCCUCCUAAAUUGUAACGGAGGCGUGCGACGGUUCCCUCAGGCUGAUUGGAAACCAGCCGUAGAGUGCAAACGCAUAAGGGAGCUUUACUGCGAGACUGACAAGUCGACCAGUUGCGAAAGCAGGUGUUAGUGAUCCGGUGGUACCACAUGGAAGGGCCAUCGCUCAUCGGAUAAAAGGUACUCUGGGGAUAACAGGCUGAUCGCGCCUGAGAGUUCACAUCGGCGGCGCGGUUUGGCACCUCGAUGUCGGCUCAUCGCAUCCUGGGGCUGGAGCAGGUCCCAAGGGUUUGGCUGUUCGCCAAUUAAAGCGGUACGCGAGCUGGGUUUAAAACGUCGUGAGACAGUUUGGUCCCUAUCUUCCGUGGGCGCAGGACACUUGAGAGGAGCUAUCCAUAGUACGAGAGGACCUGGAUGGACGAACCUCUGGUGCUCCGGUUGUCACGCCAGUGGCAUAGCCGGGUAGCCAUGUUCGGAACAGAUAACCGCUGAAGGCAUAUAAGCGGGAAGCUGGCCUCAAGACUAGGUGUCCCUGACGCAAGUCACUAAAGGCCCCUCGAAGACUACGAGGUUGAUAGGCUCGGUGUGGAAGCGCUGCGAGGCGCGGAGCUAACGAGUACUAAUAGGCCGUGAGGCUUGACCUC
This 1295-nucleotide ribosomal RNA is filed under the name metagenome. RNAcentral's name for it is "bacterial LSU rRNA". It matches the Rfam family "Bacterial large subunit ribosomal RNA", at positions 1648 to 2925 of the family's 2925-position model. The record is from RNAcentral.